Molecule: ribosomal RNA, 253 nt
Filed under: uncultured bacterium
Lineage: Bacteria
Description: partial 16S ribosomal RNA
Rfam family: Bacterial small subunit ribosomal RNA
Source: RNAcentral
UACGUAGGGUGCGAGCGUUGUCCGGAAUUAUUGGGCGUAAAGAGCUCGUAGGCGGUUUGUCGCGUCGACUGUGAAAACCCGAGGCUUAACCUCGGGCCUGCAGUCGAUACGGGCAGACUAGAGUUCGGUAGGGGAGACUGGAAUUCCUGGUGUAGCGGUGAAAUGCGCAGAUAUCAGGAGGAACACCAGUGGCGAAGGCGGCUACCUGGACCGGUUCUGACGCUGAGGCGCGAAAGCGUGGGUAGCAAACAGG